GGGCACCACAACAGGUCUCAUCUUCCGUCCCCAGCAAGCGUCCCACACGUUCAGUUAACUCUCACCCUCUCCCCUCCAUUUUUGGUUUCUUCUCUCCCUCCCUCCCUCCCUCCCGUCUCUCAAUCUUCUUCCUUCUUCUCCAAGACUUCAUGUUCUCAGACUAUGUGGGUGCGGGUGCUAUCUGGUUAGGGUCCUUCGUCUUGGCGCUCACGUUUGGCGAGCCUGAUGGGGCUUCCCAUUUCCUUUCCUGCCUUGCCUUCUUUCUUGAGCGGUCCCAUAUGCGUGUGGUUAAGAAGCAAAAGUUGUUUGAACCACAUCUUCAGAGCCAUUUCUUAAUCCUUCGUUCCCGCCCCGCCUCCUCCACCACCUCUCUCUCGAAGUUCGGAUUCUUCGUUCUCCGUGGCCACUCUAAUUUUUUUAUUUAUUCUUUUCUCCAAAGUUCUCACUUUGAAGGAUUUAGUUUCAAAUUGGAAGGGUGACCGUGAAAGCAUUGAUUGACCACAGCCUCCAGCAUAGGAUUCUCCAUGCUCGACGUCGACUCGCAGUUUGGAUCCGAAUACUGGAAUGUCCCCUUUCGUUCUGCACUCGAUAGCUUGUAAACAGAGAAAGCUAUUAAGAUGAAAGAGAGUAAGGAAGCGGAAACUGAAAAAGGGAUCAUGCUUUUGUAGAUGAUGAUAAUGAGGAGUGAUUGACGGUUUAUCACAGGAUAUCCAAUUUUCAGCUAUGAAUGGCUAUGAAUCAGAAAACACGCGACCUCUUAACUUAGCAAGUUCAUCUUUGGAUGGGAAAAAUUGAUGGAGGAAUGAUAUUCGAAGAAACCCAACACCUGUUCAUGAAUAAUUUGGUGUCUCCUUUUUCUUUAUUGUGAUUCAGUGUUACUCUUCCCCCCCCCCUACUGCACUCAGGUAUCAUAACUUUGCCAAAACAAUUCUGCUAUGCUCUAAGGAAGGGCUGAUGUUAAUGCUAUUGGUUUCUGUCCUGUGUUUGAUACUUGUAUUACUAGCAACAGGACGAGGAAAAUUUUCAAAUUAGGAAUUGGUAAUAGUUCCUCUGAAGUUAACCAAGGCGAAUCACAUUUCUAUGGAGAAAAUAGCAAUUGUUCAGUCGACAAGAGAAACUGGAGUUUGCUAACGAGGCAAGUCGCCCGUGACAAGUUAUUUAGUUAUCGGAGUUUUUCAGUAACUAAAGACAAAUUUGGUUAAUAUUUUAGAGUCUAUGUGGAAAGCUUGAUGUAUAGAACAAGAAAAGCCCAAGAACGUGAGACAUUAUGUCUUUCAGAUCCACACCCGCAUUUUCUUGGGCAUUUCAAACAAUCUGCACACCAUUUUCUUUACAAUGAGUUUAAUCCUUAUCAUAUACAAUCUUCUCCAUGUUAGAACCAGUUAAGAUUAUUAUUAUAUACUAGAAAGAGGAGAGAACAAAUGUGUUUAAUUUGGAGAUUUUGUUUGUCUAUAUUUCUGUUUUUAUUAUUAUCAAGCAAUCGGUCAAAAAACAAACAAGUGGGAGAGUAUGAUCUUGAAAUAUAAAAUAAAUAUUAGACAAAGUUAUAUAUGUAUUUUUUUGGCCGUUGAAUUGUUGUUAAAUUGGCUUUUCGCUUGUGGAGAGUUGCAAAGAAUAUUAGUUUUAGAACUUUCAUUUUAUCUGAUGCAUAGGAGAAGGGAGGAAGGAAUUCUCAGUACCAAAUCCAUUGAAGUUUUUUUAAAAGCUAUGAAUUUGUAAAUCUUUGUUUUCAACCUUAACCAUGCUUGAUAAAAGCCCUUUAGAAUCACCUACAAUAUAAUUUGAUUGCUGGGUAUGACCAGAGCUUGUGAGUUGUUUAUGUUCAAACUGGAAUUGGUUUAUGGCAUUGAACUGCAGUAUUUUUGGCUGUACAUAAAUCCUGUUAGUAGGGUCAACUAUGCAUUUCAAUCGAAAACAUUCUGCUCAAUUUUGUGACUGGUUAAUAGCAUUCCUAUCUCACAUAUUUGAAAUUAAUGGUAUUCAUAUUACAUUCUGCUCUAUAUAUUAUACCAUCUGAACAUUUUUCCUGUUGUUGACAAGAAAAGAAAAAUUAGGGGGAUAGAGUUUUUUUCUUGCACAAACUUAUUUGACCUCAAGUUGGGAUCAAUGUUCAUCUAUCACAGAGGAAUGUGCAAAUCAUGAACCUUUACAGGAUAUCACUAAUAUAAGUUUGUAAUACUAAAAAGAAUACAUCAACAUGUAAAAGCUGAUGAAGAACAGAGGGAGAGGGCCUACCUGGUUUAAUAGUUCAGCCACUGCCCACCAGCCCACUGUCUACAGCUAAAGGACAAAAAAUUAGCAGCAAGACGGAGAUUCUGAGUUGUAUGCCUAAUUUUCGAUGCAGCCUAUCGGCCCUUAUAUAGGAUGCAAAAUUGCAAUUUACCCAUAUUCUUAGAUCAUUAUCAUGUUUUAAAAAAUUAUUGAUGCAUAGCAUGCAAAACUUUAGAGAUUGCGAAUUGCGAUGAUAUACCAAGUGCAAUUAAUAUAGUAAUAUUUGCCAAGUGUUCAUGUUGUAUCACAUGCAGGCUUUAUGUUUUUGCAUAACCUUUUUGUGUAAUUGAUAUUACUAUAUUAAUUGCGAUGAUAUACCAAGUGCAAUUAAUAUAGUAACAUUUGCCAAGUGUUCAUGUUGUAUCACAUAUAGGCUUUAUGUUUUGCAUAACCUUUUCUGUGUAUGCUUUCAGCAAGUCUGAAUUUGUCAUAUAUAAACUUAAGGAGAUAGUGAAGAUAGCUGGAAUGACAUUCAACAAAUAAGCAAACUAUUUGACCCAUUGGACAGUAGUCAAUGUGGUAAGAUUACUCUUGCUGACCUGAUGGAAACUACCUAAUACAGAAGUCAAGUCCAUAAAGAGAAAUAUUUUCCCAAUCUUGCUUGCCUUCGCAACGGCUACUUGAUUUGGUCUUUAUUUUUUAGAUAAGAUGGUCCAGCAUUGCCACCAUUUAUUGUCCACAGGCUUGAUCAAGCAAAGGACUUGCAGAGUUCAGAAUUAAGUACCAGGAGACACUGCAUGGUCCCUAAAUGAUAUGGGGUCCACUAGACAUUUCAGGUCAAUGUAAAGGAAAUCUAGGACAUGGUUGAUUCCAUCACAUUUAGCAACAAGUCUAGAG
This is a long non-coding RNA of Prosopis cineraria, 3108 nucleotides long. RefSeq lists it as uncharacterized. Lineage: Eukaryota; Viridiplantae; Streptophyta; Magnoliopsida; Fabales; Fabaceae. The transcript has 3 exons. The record is from RefSeq and is a predicted model, not a curated record.